UACGGAGGGUGCAAGCGUUAUCCGGAUUUACUGGGUUUAAAGGGUGCGUAGGUGGGUCUGUAAGUCAGUGGUGAAAUCUUCGAGCUUAACUCGGAAACUGCCAUUGAUACUAUAGGUCUUGAAUAUCCUGGAGGUGAGCGGAAUAUGUCAUGUAGCGGUGAAAUGCUUAGAUAUGACAUAGAACACCAAUUGCGAAGGCAGCUGACUACGCGAGUAUUGACACUGAGGCACGAAAGCGUGGGGAUCAAACAGG
Molecule: ribosomal RNA, 253 nt
Filed under: uncultured bacterium
Lineage: Bacteria
Description: partial 16S ribosomal RNA
Rfam family: Bacterial small subunit ribosomal RNA
Source: RNAcentral